AGAGUUUGAUCCUGGCUCAGGAUGAACGCUGGCGGCGUGCUUAACACAUGCAAGUCGAACGAUGAAGCCUUUCGGGGUGGAUUAGUGGCGAACGGGUGAGUAACACGUGGGCAAUCUGCCCUGCACUCUGGGACAAGCCCUGGAAACGGGGUCUAAUACCGGAUGACACCCCCUCUCGCAUGGGAGGGGGUUGAAAGCUCCGGCGGUGCAGGAUGAGCCCGCGGCCUAUCAGCUUGUUGGUGAGGUAGAAGCUCACCAAGGCGACGACGGGUAGCCGGCCUGAGAGGGCGACCGGCCACACUGGGACUGAGACACGGCCCAGACUCCUACGGGAGGCAGCAGUGGGGAAUAUUGCACAAUGGGCGAAAGCCUGAUGCAGCGACGCCGCGUGAGGGAUGACGGCCUUCGGGUUGUAAACCUCUUUCAGCAGGGAAGAAGCGAAAGUGACGGUACCUGCAGAAGAAGCGCCGGCUAACUACGUGCCAGCAGCCGCGGUAAUACGUAGGGCGCAAGCGUUGUCCGGAAUUAUUGGGCGUAAAGAGCUCGUAGGCGGCUUGUCACGUCGGUUGUGAAAGCCCGGGGCUUAACCCCGGGUCUGCAGUCGAUACGGGCAGGCUAGAGUGUGGUAGGGGAGAUCGGAAUUCCUGGUGUAGCGGUGAAAUGCGCAGAUAUCAGGAGGAACACCGGUGGCGAAGGCGGAUCUCUGGGCCAUUACUGACGCUGAGGAGCGAAAGCGUGGGGAGCGAACAGGAUUAGAUACCCUGGUAGUCCACGCCGUAAACGGUGGGAACUAGGUGUUGGCGACAUUCCACGUCGUCGGUGCCGCAGCUAACGCAUUAAGUUCCCCGCCUGGGGAGUACGGCCGCAAGGCUAAAACUCAAAGGAAUUGACGG
Molecule: ribosomal RNA, 893 nt
Filed under: Streptomyces sp. E1BS17_pA
Lineage: Bacteria; Bacillati; Actinomycetota; Actinomycetes; Kitasatosporales; Streptomycetaceae
Description: bacterial SSU rRNA
Rfam family: Bacterial small subunit ribosomal RNA
Source: RNAcentral